This 247-nucleotide unclassified non-coding RNA is filed under the name Ambisporaceae sp. RNAcentral describes it as "partial contains 5.8S ribosomal RNA and internal transcribed spacer 2". The stretch from base 1 to 71 matches the Rfam family "5.8S ribosomal RNA", at positions 84 to 154 of the family's 154-position model. Lineage: Eukaryota; Fungi; Glomeromycota; Glomeromycetes; Archaeosporales; Ambisporaceae. The record is from RNAcentral.
GUGAAUCAUCAAAUCUUUGAACGCAUAUUGCACUCUCUGGUAUUCCGGAGGGUAUGCCUGUUUGAGGGUAUUAAAAAGGAUCUUUAACCAAUUUUUUUUGGUCAAAGGAAAUGAGCUCUCCGCGGUUAUAACGGUAGCUUGAAAUAAAUGGUCAAGGCUCAUUUUAGUCGAGACGCGUAAUAAUAUUAUUUCGCGAAAUCUUCAUUAUGUGGCUAUCAAGGUUUGAUUGAUACAAAUUUGCUUUUUA